AUGUUAUUAGUAUAAUUUAAUUAUAUCACUUUUCCAAAGUGGGGAUCUAAGAAUUUAGAUAGCAUA
RNAcentral lists this transfer RNA (66 nucleotides) under Dibothriocephalus nihonkaiensis. RNAcentral describes it as "tRNA-Gly". Lineage: Eukaryota; Metazoa; Platyhelminthes; Cestoda; Diphyllobothriidea; Diphyllobothriidae. The record is from RNAcentral.